This 87-nucleotide transfer RNA is filed under the name Sphingomonas brevis. Its description in RNAcentral is "tRNA-Leu". It matches the Rfam family "tRNA". From Rfam's summary of the family: Transfer RNA (tRNA) molecules are approximately 80 nucleotides in length. Their secondary structure includes four short double-helical elements and three loops (D, anti-codon, and T loops). Lineage: Bacteria; Pseudomonadati; Pseudomonadota; Alphaproteobacteria; Sphingomonadales; Sphingomonadaceae. The record is from RNAcentral.
GCGGACGUGGCGAAAUUGGUAGACGCACGGGACUUAAAAUCCCUUGCCCUUCGGGGUGUGCGGGUUCGAGUCCCGCCGUCCGCACCA